UCCAAAUCCAAAGUCCCAAAAUGCACAUUCU
RNAcentral lists this non-coding RNA (31 nucleotides) under Mus musculus (house mouse). The record is from RNAcentral. Lineage: Eukaryota; Metazoa; Chordata; Mammalia; Rodentia; Muridae.